Heterocephalus glaber (naked mole-rat) is the source of this 1125-nucleotide long non-coding RNA. RefSeq lists it as uncharacterized. NCBI's taxonomy places the organism in Eukaryota, Metazoa, Chordata, Mammalia, Rodentia, Bathyergidae. The record is from RefSeq and is a predicted model, not a curated record.
GCUUGCGUAGAGGAUCAAGGCCUGUGAUGGUCGCGCUUCAAGAGGGCCAAGCACAGACGGAUCAGUGCUCCCAGUGUUCCUAGGUUCAGUACCAGGAUACUGCCCAUGGGUGCCUAGGAGGGAGGCGACUUCCACGCCAGUGGCCCUGUGCUAAGAUUUGAGAAUGCGGCCCCGUGGAGAAUGUUGGACCCGGAAUUAAAAGUCCUUCUUGGACCAAUUUGAUCCACAGAAGACGAGGCAAUACCAUGGCCUCUUUGUCUGUUUCCACGUUUUCCUGAGCCCAGCCGCCUUUUCCAGGUCGACACUUGGAUUGCUUCUGAAGUUGAAAUUCAACUAGUAAUUAUAGCGACAGCGGUCCUUGGAACAUCUCAGAAAUGUUACCAAUACUGUUUUGACGGUGCCGUUUGUUGUAUGGAGCAUAAAUCCCAAAACUUGAAGGCUAGCCGUCACAUCUUAACCUAAACUUUUCCCCAGCGCGGAGGGCAACAUCACUAAUCACUGAGAUACAGUGAAGUAAAAACCAAGAUAGAAUAAGUGGUUGCAAGGAAGAUUUCUACCACCGAGUAUUUGAGGGGCAAAGAAAGAGAAAAUGUUGCUGUCUUCACAUUCCCUUCCCUCCUCAUUUGUUUCCUACUGCUCAGAGUUCUUCCUCAGGUAUUUACUGGAAUCUGAGCCCACAAUUCUCUGAAUCCAUGACUAAUGCAAGUCAGGACCAAGUUUAUUGGUGACAUCCAUUUUCCUUCUUAGGGAUCAAAGUCUCUCGAAGUAUACACUGAUUAGAGGUCUUAAAUUAUCUCUAAGCCUAUUUGUAUGUAAUGCAAGGAUAGCUACCUAUGCAGGCAAGUACCUGUUAGCUGCACAAAGAGUGUAAUCUUGUGCAGACUUAGAAUGUAAUUUUUAAAAAUCCUAUAAACUUAUAGCCUAUGCAUCUAUCAGAAAUCUUUACCCCAAAUAUAUACCUACCAGUGCUCUUGUGGGUUUAAAUUACUAUUUAUAAGGAACUUUGUCACUGGGAAGUUCUGUGUCAAGUUUCAGAAAAUUUUGGUCAUGUCUUCAAAUAUUUCAUUGCCCAGAGUUAUUUAAUUUGAUUUUCCAUGAAUGCCUUUUGAUGUAACUUCCUAUGGA